RNAcentral lists this ribosomal RNA (513 nucleotides) under uncultured bacterium. Its description in RNAcentral is "partial 16S ribosomal RNA". It matches the Rfam family "Bacterial small subunit ribosomal RNA", at positions 28 to 523 of the family's 1533-position model. The record is from RNAcentral.
GAUGGACGCUGGCGGCGUGCCUAAUACAUGCAAGUCGAGCGAACAGAUAAGGAGCUUGCUCCUUUGACGUUAGCGGCGGACGGGUGAGUAACACGUGGGUAACCUAUCUAUAAGACUGGAAUAACUCCGGGAAACCGGGGCUAAUGCCGGAUAAUAUUUAGAACCGCAUGGUUCUAAAGUGAAAGAUGGUUUUACUAUCACUUAUAGAUGGACCCGCGCCGUAUUAGCUAGUUGGUGGGGUAAUGGCUUACCAAGGCAACGAUACGUAGCCGACCUGAGAGGGUGAUCGGCCACACUGGAACUGAGACACGGUCCAGACUCCUACGGGAGGCAGCAGUAGGGAAUCUUCCGCAAUGGGCGAAAGCCUGACGGAGCAACGCCGCGUGAGUGAUGAAGGUCUUCGGAUCGUAAAACUCUGUUAUUAGGGAAGAACAAAUGUGUAAGUAACUGUGCACGUCUUGACGGUACCUAAUCAGAAAGCCACGGCUAACUACGUGCCAGCAGCCGCCGUAA